CGAUGCGAUCAUACCAGCACUAAAGCACCGGAUCCCAUCAGAACUCCGAAGUUAAGCGUGCUUGGGCGAGAGUAGUACUGGGAUGGGUGACCUCCUGGGAAGUCCUCGUGUUGCAUUCC
This 119-nucleotide ribosomal RNA is filed under the name Triticum aestivum (bread wheat). The record is from RNAcentral. Lineage: Eukaryota; Viridiplantae; Streptophyta; Magnoliopsida; Poales; Poaceae.